AGAGUUUGAUCCUGGCUCAGAACGAACGCUGGCGGCAUGCCUAACACAUGCAAGUCGAACGAGACCUUCGGGUCUAGUGGCGCACGGGUGCGUAACGCGUGGGAAUCUGCCCCUUGGUUCGGAAUAACUCAGAGAAAUUUGAGCUAAUACCGGAUGAUGACGUAAGUCCAAAGAUUUAUCGCCGAGGGAUGAGCCCGCGUAGGAUUAGCUAGUUGGUGGGGUAAAGGCCUACCAAGGCGACGAUCCUUAGCUGGUCUGAGAGGAUGAUCAGCCACACUGGGACUGAGACACGGCCCAGACUCCUACGGGAGG
RNAcentral lists this ribosomal RNA (312 nucleotides) under uncultured Alphaproteobacteria bacterium. RNAcentral's name for it is "bacterial SSU rRNA". It matches the Rfam family "Bacterial small subunit ribosomal RNA", at positions 8 to 348 of the family's 1533-position model. Lineage: Bacteria; Pseudomonadati; Pseudomonadota; Alphaproteobacteria. The record is from RNAcentral.